AAGGAUUUAAGUUAACAAAACUAUUAGCCUUCAAAGCUAAAAUUAAAUUUAUUUAAGCCUUA
Molecule: transfer RNA, 62 nt
Filed under: Bostrichoidea sp. 6 KM-2017
Lineage: Eukaryota; Metazoa; Arthropoda; Insecta; Coleoptera
Description: tRNA-Trp
Source: RNAcentral